AGCGGGCUGCAGGGCUGCGGGCGCUUGGUUCGGCCUGGCCCGGCCGGCGGCUCCUAACACCGGGCGGGCGGCUGCGGCGGCACUUCCGGGUUGGCCUUCUCCAUGUUGGUCUCGGGAACGUGAAGGGGCGGGGCCUCGAGGUCAGGGGUCAGCACCUCCCUGGUUGCCGUGGCGACUGGAGGCGCGCGACGCGGGCGCAAUGGCGGGGACCCGGGGCUUGAUGCUGCUUGGGCCUGGCCCAGUGGCGGGUCCUAGGGACGUGGGUACCUGCAGAGGCCGGCAGAUGGAGAUUCAGAAACAUAAGGACAACAAGAAACUUCCCCAAGGUAUCAUUAUAGUCUUUAGACUUCAGACACACACCACACCUCAAAUAUAUACACAACUGAAAGGAAAAUUAAGGAAGUUUUUCAAAGAACCCUAUUCCGAGUAAGAAGUGUGUUGCAUGAAUUUCUAAGGUCUCUGAAAAGCAACUUAUUCACUGGAGAUGUGAGGAGCCAUCCGCACAUCACAAUUCUAUAGACAUCAAACGCAUGAAGCAUUUCGGAUCUGCUUUAAGACUGAGGCAGACUUUCCAUCUGGACACAGCCGACCAUCCAUGUGUCAUUACAAUGAAUCCAGCACUUCCCUGGAAGCUGGAAGGGUCAAAUUCAACUUCAACUCUGCCACUUCCUGCUUAACUUGCUGUUUAACCUUGGGCAAGCUGCCAUCCCACACGAGGCCGAAGGUGUCGGUUUUUAAAAUACAGAAAUUUGGUUCCAUGAGGGAUUAUCAAUAUACUGCUGGUGGGCCAAAUUCCAUCUGCUACUUGCCUUUGUAAAUAAAGUUUUAUUGAAACACAAACAUGCCCAUUAGUUUACUCUUGUCUGUGACUACAAGGGCAAAGUUGAAUAGUUGUUACAGAGACCAUCAGGCUCACAAAGCCUAGGUUAUUUACUAUCUGCCCAUUUACAGAGUAAGUUUGCCAGCCCUGGACUGGAUAAUUUUUUGAGUUCUUUCUAAUUCUAGAAUUCUUUAUAUAUUUUAUGAAACCCCUAAUGUUUAUAUAUUAAUUAUUUCAAUACCCGUGUCUUUACUGAGUCCCUCCUAUGAAGCAUACAUCAAGACAUAUGUGUGAUACAUUAACUAAACUUUUAACAGUAUCUUAAAUAGGAUUUCAAUGACUAACAGCUCUUGGAAAUAUCCAAGGUAACAUUUGGGGGCAAAUGUCUUAUGAUUUGAUUAUCAUUGGUAAAUAGAGCAUAUCUUUUUUUCCACUAACAAUGUUUAAGAAGUUAAAAAAAAAUCAAGAAAACCCCGUAUGGCACUAGAGACUUAUUGCAUUAAGACAUCAUCUUAACAGAUUGUUUAGUUUUGGUAAUAUAAUUUGACAUCUAAACAUAAGCUGAGAGGGAUCUCCCUCAAAACCUUUGAUAAUAUGAUUCAUUGUCAAAUGUUUGUUUUGCCUAUCUGGCACUCAUUAAUUAAUUCUUUUUAAUAUAGCUUGGAUUUACUGAUUUUGAAAAAGAGAAUUAUUCUUAUUGAUGUUGCUAAAAUAUCCAGGUGGCUUGAAUUUCACCAACUAGAUAGUUUAAUCUAGCACAUUUGUGUAGCCCUAAUCAAAUCUUUACUAACAGAUGUGAGAAGCCCAGUACUGGAGCUAAUGUUUGUGUCUCAAUGAUAAUUAAAUUAGCUUAAUAAGGAAAAUAAAUGAACAAUAAUCACCAAAAUUUUUCCCUAAACCUGUGUUAUAGUCUUAAAAACAUUUUUUCCCCUAUGGAGGCUUUUGGUAAUAAAACACAAAUUGAGGGAUUUUAAUUAAAAGAAAUUUUUUUUUCAAGAACUGGUCAUGUACUAAAUUGCUUAUAAUCAAAUAAUCAAGUAGCAUUUCUUUUAUUAUAAGAGCAAAACCUAUAAUUAAGCCAAAAUUCAAAUUUGUUUUUAAAGGUUGAAUAAUCUUUUGUUUUGGCCAAUAGUAUGUGGAUUUUUUUUUUAAGUAUUAUCUCUUUGUAGUAUUUUCUAAUGGAUAGGAAAUGCCUUUCUCAGGUUGAAUGAUUAUUUCCACAUAGAAUUAGUUCCUGCUUACAACAGUGCUCCACUAAUGUAAUGGCUCGGUGAAUUGGCUUUAUAAUUCAUUAAUCAUAGCUCACAUUGAGCUUUUGGCUCCAGGUGACAGUGCCCACCACAGGCCAAAUAACUUCUCAUUUAAAGGCAAUUUGUACAAAUAGGGAAGGUGAGAAUUCUCACAGUCCCAGAGGGAUUGAAGAGUUUUAAAAAACCAAGAUAAGGCAUUUUAUGGAAGACAGGUUGAUGGAAGAAAAGUGGCCAUUGGAGGAUGAGGCAGAUGGCUUUCCAGGGAGGCCCUGGAGCUGCCACCAUGGGGAAGGCCAUGUUGCAGCUGCUGAUCAGAGCACAUUGGACGGUGUUUCCGUGUGAACAUGAAGACAAUGCUGCCUCUGUUUCUGUGACGCUGUGCUCUGAUCUUGCUGGAGGCGAAGUGGUGUCAGCUGUGCUUACAGGACAGUCAGUGGUGGUAGAAAAGAGGCCAGUGUGACCUGUGAAGGACUGGGCCCCUCUCACUCAACCUGAGUGCCUGCAGUUGUGGCCACCUUUAUUUGUGUAUUCUACUGUAUUUAUUUAUUUGCCUGGCUAAUUAGCUCUGUGCCACAUUCCUAAGCUAGAUGUGUCCCUUCAUGUAAGUGAGAGGGAGACAGAAAGAAAGACUGAGGUGGGGGGUAGGAGAAAGAGAGGAAAGCAAGCAAGAAGAAAGAGAAAGAGAGAAGAAGAAAGGAAGAGGAAAGAAAGAGAGAAAGAGAAAGAGAAGGAAGGAAGGAGAAAGAGAAGGAAAGAAGGAGCCUUCUAAUUUUAUUUCAUUUCUCCAAUAAAUGUUCCUAUAUUAAGACUUUAGACAAAGAUUAGAAAUAUGAUUUGACAGAAAGUGUAUGGAUGUGUUGUUCUAUUGCAUUGUAAGUAAAGUAUCCAUGGCAAUAUACAAAUAAUACAGCUCCUACCCCUAUUCUCUGUUGUUACUUUCAUGUGUUGUCUUAACUUUUUAAAUUUCAAGAUAAUAUUGCGCUUAUUUAUUUUUCCAUGAGGAGGCCUAGGAUUUAGCUUGAUUAGAAAAGCUGUGGAAAAUGAAUGUGCUAAUUACUUUAAAUCAAAUUGAAAAUAAAUUUUAUCCUGUUUCAUGCAAAACA
RNAcentral lists this long non-coding RNA (3173 nucleotides) under Homo sapiens (human). RNAcentral's name for it is "non-protein coding CASC2:3". Lineage: Eukaryota; Metazoa; Chordata; Mammalia; Primates; Hominidae. The record is from RNAcentral.